This 253-nucleotide ribosomal RNA is filed under the name uncultured bacterium. Its description in RNAcentral is "partial 16S ribosomal RNA". It matches the Rfam family "Bacterial small subunit ribosomal RNA", at positions 524 to 776 of the family's 1533-position model. The record is from RNAcentral.
UACGUAGGGUCCGAGCGUUGUCCGGAAUUAUUGGGCGUAAAGGGCUCGUAGGCGGUUUGUCGCGUCGGGAGUGAAAACACCGGGCUUAACUCGGUGCUUGCUUUCGAUACGGGCAGACUAGAGGCAUGCAGGGGAGAAUGGAAUUCCUGGUGUAGCGGUGAAAUGCGCAGAUAUCAGGAGGAACACCGGUGGCGAAGGCGGGUCUCUGGGCCGAUACUGACGCUGAGGCGCGAAAGCGUGGGGAGCAAACAGG